CCUACGGGAGGCUGCAGUGGGGAAUAUUGCACAAUGGGCGCAAGCCUGAUGCAGCCAUGCCGCGUGUGUGAAGAAGGCCUUCGGGUUGUAAAGCACUUUCAGCGGGGAGGAAGGCGUUAAGGUUAAUAACCUUGUCGAUUGACGUUACCCGCAGAAGAAGCACCGGCUAACUCCGUGCCAGCAGCCGCGGUAAUACGGAGGGUGCAAGCGUUAAUCGGAAUUACUGGGCGUAAAGCGCACGCAGGCGGUCUGUCAAGUCGGAUGUGAAAUCCCCGGGCUCAACCUGGGAACUGCAUUCGAAACUGGCAGGCUAGAGUCUUGUAGAGGGGGGUAGAAUUCCAGGUGUAGCGGUGAAAUGCGUAGAGAUCUGGAGGAAUACCGGUGGCGAAGGCGGCCCCCUGGACAAAGACUGACGCGCAGGUGCGAAAGCGUGGGGAGCAAACAGGAUUAGAUACCCCGGUAGUC
Molecule: ribosomal RNA, 465 nt
Filed under: uncultured Klebsiella sp.
Lineage: Bacteria; Pseudomonadati; Pseudomonadota; Gammaproteobacteria; Enterobacterales; Enterobacteriaceae
Description: bacterial SSU rRNA
Rfam family: Bacterial small subunit ribosomal RNA
Source: RNAcentral